UUGAUCCUGGCUUCAGAAUGAACGCUGGCGGCGUUGCCUAACACAUGCAAGUCGAGCGAGAAAGCUCCUUCGGGAGUGAGUAAAGCGGCGGACGGUUGAGUAACACGUGAGAAUCUGCCCUCUAGUGGAGAAUACCCUCGAGAAAUCGAGGCUAAUUCUGCAUAAGUCCCUACGGGGAGAAAGGUGGCCUCUUUGCUAUCGCUAGAGGAGGAGCUUGCGGCCUAUCAGUUUGUUGGUGAGGUAAAGGCUUACCAAGGCUAUGACGGGUAACUGGCUUGAGAGAGUGGUCAGUCAGAUUGGAACUGAGAUACGGUCCAGACUCCUACGGGAGGCAGCAGUGAGGAAUAUUGCGCAAUGGGCGAAAGCCUGACGCAGCGACGCCGCGUGGAGGAUGACGGCCUUCGGGUUGUAAACUCCUGUUAGGUGGGAAGAAAUCCCCAGCUCUAAUACAGUUGGGGGAUGACGGUACCAUCAGAGAAAGCACCGGCUAACUUCGUGCCAGCAGCCGCGGUAAUACGAGGGGUGCUAGCGUUAUUCGGAAUUACUGGGCGUAAAGGGUGUGUAGACGGCAUGUUAAGUCGACUGUUAAAUACUUCGGCCCAACCGAAGAGAUGCGGUCGAAACUGGCGUGCUAGAGGGUGGAAGAGAGAAGUGGAAUUCUCGGAGUAGCGGUAAAAUGCGUAGAUCUCGAGAGGAACACCGAUGGCGAAGGCAGCUUCUUGGUCCAUUCCUGACGUUGAAACACGAAAGCGUGGGGAGCAAACAGGAUUAGAUACCCUGGUAGUCCACGCCGUAAACGAUGAUCACUAGACGUCGGAUUUGUUUUACAGAUUCGGUGUCGUAGCUAACGCGUUAA
This 856-nucleotide ribosomal RNA is filed under the name uncultured organism. Its description in RNAcentral is "bacterial SSU rRNA". It matches the Rfam family "Bacterial small subunit ribosomal RNA", at positions 13 to 863 of the family's 1533-position model. The record is from RNAcentral.